CGGCGGACGGGUGAGUAAUGCCUAGGAAUCUGCCUGGUAGUGGGGGACAACGUUUCGAAAGGAACGCUAAUACCGCAUACGUCCUACGGGAGAAAGCAGGGACCUUCGGGCCUUGCGCUAUCAGAUGAGCCUAGGUCGGAUUAGCUAGUUGGUGAGGUAAUGGCUCACCAAGGCGACGAUCCGUAACUGGUCUGAGAGGAUGAUCAGUCACACUGGAACUGAGACACGGUCCAGACUCCUACGGGAGGCAGCAGC
Molecule: ribosomal RNA, 255 nt
Filed under: uncultured Pseudomonas sp.
Lineage: Bacteria; Pseudomonadati; Pseudomonadota; Gammaproteobacteria; Pseudomonadales; Pseudomonadaceae
Description: partial 16S ribosomal RNA
Rfam family: Bacterial small subunit ribosomal RNA
Source: RNAcentral